UAGUUUUCACUUAAACUUGACCUUGAAAUUCUUGAGACUUGCAUUAAUGAAUUGAAUAUGUGAAUAUGUCUGUUUUAUAAUAAUGAAUAAAUAUGUGUAUUUUGCUGUUUGCAAAAACUUGAUAUAGUCUGAUCGUAUAGUUUAUAUAUAUAGACUACUGUACUGUAUAUAAGAUAUAAUGGAGGAAGUGAGUCUCGUCCUUGUAUUGUUCAGUGUGUUGCAAUACAGCCUGGCCACUAGAUGGCAGUGUAUCGGGCACUUGCAGCGUGUCUUGUUGUCUCUGCAUCAGUCAGGAAACAUAGGUCAUUUCGGCAAAUUCAGUUACAGUGUUUUGUGUAAACGUUUUAUAACUUAAAGCUGUGGUGAGCCUGGUCGUACCAAUUACCAAUGAAAUCUUGCGCUGUCACUGACAAGGUUGAAGUCACCACAGUCAAUCCUGUCAACAACAGCGCUGUCAGUUUAUUGUCUAGCACACUAUGGUGCGCCACAGCAAGCUACAGAAACAGGUCUUAUCUCUGUAUCGGCAGUUUCUGCGCUCAGCACAGGAGAAGCCGGGCUUCUUACCGAGAAUACGUGAUGAAUUCCGUGCCAACUCUGCCAUCAAGAAGACCGACGUCAUGCACAUAGAAUAUCUGUAUCGGCGAGGCCAACGCCAACUUGAACUGCUUAAAGAUGUAAACACUAAACAGCUUGGAUCAUUCAGCAAGUCUAAAGAGGACAGCUGACCACUCAAAUAGCCUAACAACAUAUAAUCGGUCAUAUAAUCAGUACUCUAUUCAAAUAUUUUACGAAAAUAUGACCCGAAAAGAACAAAAUUGUUUUUUUGGGGGGGAAACACCUCCCUUAUUUAAAUGGAAUAUCCAAAUGACUUGGCUGGACAAGAUUAACCCAUUGCUGUUUUAUCUUUAUGGUGUUAUUUAUGUACAUUAAUUUGCAGAUUAAACCCAUAUUAUUUGGUGUUAUGUCAGUAUUCUACUUUUUUCUACUUUCUCUGACUUCGAUUUCUUGUAGUUACUUCUGCAUAAACUGAAAAUAACUUUCUCGUUCUGAACUCUUAUGUUAAAAAAUGUGGAUAAUAAUACUGAUUUUAUACAUGCAUACAUUAUUUUAUCUUUAUUUAUGAUUAUUUAUUUAUAGUAGUUAUAUUUUUGGUGCUAUUUAGAUUUGAUGAUAUGAUGUUUGUCAUGUUUCUCAAGUAAUGACUUGCCCGUCCAUAAGUGGGCGCAAGUGCGAAAAUAAAUCUGAUUUCAUUGGCGGAAGAAGAACACGCUGCGCUGUAAACACAGGAAGAUCAUGUAAGUUGUGUCACAAAAGCAAGGAACGGAAUUUUAGCUGUAGUCCAUAGUUUACUUAUUAAUUAUCGCAUACAUUAAUAACUUAUUGAACUUCUCAACAAAAGUAUGGCGGAGUCAAACGGGAUGACAGAUGCCCAGUUGAUUCAGCAGCUGGCUCUGCUGGGCUGGCUGAAGACCGACAGUGUACCGUGUAAAGAUCUGCUCACUGCUGUUACUGGGAUUCAGGUGGGCCGUGAGCUUCUGGACAGACUCUCUGGGCAAAGCCAGAUAGAUGCAUACAGGAGGGAAUGCAUCCUGAGUAUUGCUGACUUUGUGAAGAAGAAUCCCAGGGCUUCUCAGCGCGAGCUCAAUGCCGAGGUUGAGAAGAACGUGCUGGUGUUUGCCUCUAGAGUGCAGACCCUAUAGAUAUACACUUCAUAUCUUUUAUCCUUUUGUCUUUUUCCCUGUAUCUCUGUAUUCUAACAAAUCUAACUAGCCGACUAUCUAAACUGUUAUGUUGAGGAUGCUUGUUUUUUUAUAAUCUUGAAUAAUUAUUUAUGAGGGCAAUCUGUUUUUUAAAUUUUUUUAAAUAUUUUUAUUGGGAUUUUUUUUUUAAUGAUAUAUAAUGCUGAUUUUUACUGGUUAUGAUAUUUACUGUUACUGUGAUAUCCACUAUACAGAAAAUCAAUGUGUUGUUGAGUUAAGAUGUGAUUUUAAUCUUCUAGUUCUAAUCUGAAAUAAAGCGCUCAUAUCUGAU
Molecule: non-coding RNA, 2031 nt
Organism: Pimephales promelas (fathead minnow)
Lineage: Eukaryota; Metazoa; Chordata; Actinopteri; Cypriniformes; Leuciscidae
Source: RefSeq, a predicted model, not a curated record